RNA transcript from Chenopodium quinoa (quinoa), 2688 nucleotides. It is a transcript of the gene named vacuolar cation/proton exchanger 3-like, with no coding region annotated. The record is from RefSeq and is a predicted model, not a curated record. The transcript has 12 exons. NCBI's taxonomy places the organism in Eukaryota, Viridiplantae, Streptophyta, Magnoliopsida, Caryophyllales, Amaranthaceae.
UGGUAAAACCAUUACAUACAAAUUAGGAAGUAAAAUUUUUGGGGAAUUCAAUAUAAGACUAAUAGUACCAACUACCAAGGCAUCCUCUAUGGUUGAAAAUUAUGCAUAAUGGUUCCAGAUUUUACAUAUUGUCAAGAUUAUUUCAUAACAUCAAUGUUAUAAAUAUCAUUCCCAUUGUUCUAUGUGCAUAGGCACAAUUUCAAAUUCGAUCAUACAAAAGAUAUGUUUGUCUUUGUUGGUUAGUCUCGGGGUGUUAUUCAAAACAUAAAUCAAAUCUCGUCUACAUCACUUCCAUUUGUAACUCCCUUUACACAUUUAAAAAAAAAAGAAAAUCAAUUUGAAUAUAUACUGUUUUAGUAGGUCAACGUAUUACAAUAUACAAGUGGUACCUUACAUAAGUUACAAUGUUACUUCCCUUCGAUCAAAUUUGGUCAACACCAUAUUAAAGUUGGCGCACCGUAAGCCAGGCCCAGGCCCAAUUCAUAAGCGGGCUAUUAAGUUUUUUUGACUUAAAAUUCCCAACAAUUUUUGACUCCAACAAUUAUCUUCACUCCCAGAAAAUGAAGCUUUCUGCACAGUCUCAUUAUCAACUUCAACUUCUUGCUACCUGAAAAAUGGAAGCUUACACGAGGUUCAUCAUCAGCUAUAUUACCCCACAUUUAUCAGUUUUUUCAAUUUCAAGUGUAAAUUGGAUAAUCAAGGAUAUGGACUCCAAUGAGGCAUGGGAUGCAGAAAAUGGAAUCGUCAGUGACUCAAGCAACGAGCCUAAAAUUAUCCAGACGGCACAUAGUUUGUCAUCUUCAUUGCUUAGGAAAAAGUCUGAUGUGGCCCUGGGGUUGAACAUCAGGUCUUUGUUGGUUAGGAGAAUUCUGAAAAAUCUUCAAGAUGUUAUCCUUGGAACCAAGAUUUGUGCUCUCUUUGUGGCCAUCCCCUUCGCUAUAGUGGCCGAAUAUCACAAUUUUGGAAGACAGGCCUGGGUCUUUGCUUUGAGUUUAAUCGGACUUGCCCCUCUAGCGGAACGAGUUAGCUUUCUUACCGAGCAAAUUGCAUAUUAUACUGGCUCAACAGUUGGGGGGCUGCUAAAUGCAACUUGUGGCAAUGCAACAGAACUCAUAAUAGCUAUAUUCGCACUCCACCAAGGGAAGAUAGCUGUGCUGAAGUACUCUCUUCUGGGAUCAAUUCUUUCAAACCUUCUUCUAGUUCUUGGUUCUUCUCUAUUUUGUGGUGGCUUGGCCAACAUGAGCGAGGAGCAAAAAUUUGACAGAAAUCAAGCCGAUGUAAAUAUACUUCUCCUCUUUCUUGGAGUUCUUUGUCAUGCAUUGCCAUUGUUUACUCAACAUUCUGAGGAUGCUGCAGGGACGGCAUUCUCUGCUAGCUCCAUACUCCUGCUGUCAAGAGUGAACAGCAUUGUCCUGCUCGUGGCUUAUAUUGCAUAUCUGUUCUUUCAGCUGAAGACCCACCGACAAUUGUUUGAUUCUGAAGAGGAACCUGAUGAUAAUUGUGAGGAUGGGAGGGCAAUAAUUGGUUUUUGGAGUGCAUUUAGCUGGUUGGUAGGCAUGACAGUAGUGAUAGCUUUGCUUUCUGAAUAUAUUGUUGGCACAAUUGAGGCUGCUUCCAUCUCUUGGGGCAUUCCCAUUAGCUUCCUCAGCAUAAUUUUGCUUCCUAUAGUUGGGAAUGCAGCAGAACAUGCAGGUGCAAUCAUAUUUGCUUACAAGAACAAGCUGGAUAUAUCUCUGGCAGUUGCCCUGGGCUCUGCCACCCAAAUUUCAAUAUUUGUGGUCCCCUUAUGUGUGAUUGUUGCAUGGAUAAUGCAUAUCAAGAUGGAUCUCAGCCUUAGCAUCCUGGAAACCGCUUCUUUUGCUGUUUCAGUACUCGUUGUAGCCUUCACUUUGCAGCUGCUACUAUUAAACAGGAUGGAUCAUCACAUUACAUGAAAGGGGGUGUUCUUCUCUUUUUUUACACGGUUAUUGCUACAAGCCUUUUGGUCCUUCCUUAUAAAACCGAUAACGAUGAUCAAGCAAAUCUCAUUGGAUCAGGGCUUAUAUCGUCAGUUGGAUUUGCUGGUGCCUGAUAAUUUGAGAUGUCAACUCUGGUGUCUCAAAUAAAAAGAUUGUUCUUGUAAAUUUUUUAAUUCCUGGAAAACAGAUAUCGAAUCUGAAAAUUUUCUUCUAUAGAUUUUAAUGUAUGCCAACUACAUUGGAGUUGCAAGUUGUAAUCUAUCUGAUGAUAUAAUUUGAUUCUGCGGGUAUAGCUUGAAGAUUUAAAGGGUAUCAAAUAAGUAAUGGUUCUGUUAGUAUUAAACUAUACUCUAGUGGUACAAUUCAGAAAUAUGCAAAGGACUUGUUUGGUAAUUAGUUGUUAGCCAACUUUUAAAGCGAUUUACAGUCACUUUUUUUCGGAAUGUGACCGAACAACCAAUUCCGAAUGUGUAUCUAAUUGGUAAUGAAAACAGUGAUUAGAUUUUUAUUUUUUUUUUAUUUCUUUUGUGUGUGUGUUUUUGUGAUUUCAAUAAGUGAAACACAAAUUCUUACAAAACAUUUUUGUAAAUAAUGAAACAAAUCAAGCAAAUAAUUAAUAAUAAUAGCUAGUUGCCCAAUAUAAGAAGAGUUGGAUCAUCCCAAAUAUUUUUUAUUUUUUUUAAUUCAAUUUACAGUUUUAUAAUAAUGUGCAUAAAUAAUUGAAUGUUAA